GGGUCAGUAGGUUGGUCGUGCCACCGGUACGUACUGGUCUCACUGAUUCCUCCUUCCUGAAGAACCGUAAUGCCAUUAAUUUGGUGUUGCGGGGAAACAGGACUGUUACUUUGAAAAAAUUAGAGUGUUUAAAGCAAGCUAACGCUUGAAUACAUUAGCAUGGAAUAAUGAAAUAGGACGAUCGAUCCUAUUUUGUUGGCUCCUAGGAUUGACGUA
This 216-nucleotide ribosomal RNA is filed under the name Glomeromycotina sp. Its description in RNAcentral is "partial small subunit ribosomal RNA". The stretch from base 44 to 216 matches the Rfam family "Eukaryotic small subunit ribosomal RNA", at positions 690 to 864 of the family's 1831-position model. Lineage: Eukaryota; Fungi; Glomeromycota. The record is from RNAcentral.